This 250-nucleotide ribosomal RNA is filed under the name uncultured prokaryote. RNAcentral's name for it is "partial 16S ribosomal RNA". It matches the Rfam family "Bacterial small subunit ribosomal RNA", at positions 524 to 773 of the family's 1533-position model. The record is from RNAcentral.
UACGGGGGAUGCAAGCGUUGUCCGGAAUCAUUGGGCGUAAAGAGUUCGUAGGUGGUUUGUUAAGUUUGGUGUUAAAUACCGAGGCUCAACUUCGGCAAGGCACUGGAUACUGGCAGACUAGAAUGCGGCAGAGGUAAAGGGAAUUCCUGGUGUAGCGGUGAAAUGCGUAGAUAUCAGGAGGAACAUCGGAGGCGAAAGCGCUUUACUGGACCGUAAUUGACACUGAGGAACGAAAGCCGGGGUAGCAAAU